Molecule: ribosomal RNA, 91 nt
Filed under: Enterococcus cecorum
Lineage: Bacteria; Bacillati; Bacillota; Bacilli; Lactobacillales; Enterococcaceae
Source: RNAcentral
UGUGGUGGCGAUAGCAAGAAGGAUACACCUGUUCCCAUGCCGAACACAGAAGUUAAGCUUCUUAGCGCCGAUAGUAGUUGGGGGUUUCCCC